GACGAACCGUGCGAACGUUGUUCGGAAUCACUGGGCUUAAAGGGCGCGUAGGCGGGCUGUCAAGUCUGGGGUGAAAUCCCGCGGCUCAACCGCGGAACUGCCUCAGAUACUGACGGUCUCGAGGGGGGUAGGGGCGAGCGGAACUGAUGGUGGAGCGGUGAAAUGCGUUGAUAUCAUCAGGAACUCCGGUGGCGAAGGCGGCUCGCUGGACCUCUUCUGACGCUGAGGCGCGAAAGCUAGGGGAGCAAACGGG
Molecule: ribosomal RNA, 253 nt
Filed under: uncultured bacterium
Lineage: Bacteria
Description: partial 16S ribosomal RNA
Rfam family: Bacterial small subunit ribosomal RNA
Source: RNAcentral